AUUAUACCGUGAAACUGCGAAUGGCUCAUUAAAUCAGUUAUCGUUUAUUUGAUAAUACCUUACUACUUGGAUAACCGUGGUAAUUCUAGAGCUAAUACAUGCUGAAAAUCCCGACUUCGGAAGGGAUGUGUUUAUUAGAUAAAAAACCAAUGCCCUUCGGGGCUCCUUGGUGAUUCAUAAUAACUUUACGGAUCGCAUAGCCUUGCGCUGGCGACGGUUCAUUCAAAUUUCUGCCCUAUCAACUUUCGAUGGUAAGGUAUUGGCUUACCAUGGUUUCAACGGGUAACGGGGAAUUAGGGUUCGAUUCCGGAGAGGGAGCCUGAGAAACGGCUACCACAUCCAAGGAAGGCAGCAGGCGCGCAAAUUACCCAAUCCCGAUUCGGGGAGGUAGUGACAAUAAAUACUGAUACAGGGCUCUUUUGGGUCUUGUAAUUGGAAUGAGUACAAUUUAAACCUCUUAACGAGGAACAAUUGGAGGGCAAGUCUGGUGCCAGCAGCCGCGGUAAUUCCAGCUCCAAUAGCGUAUAUUAAAGUUGUUGCAGUUAAAAAGCUCGUAGUUGAAACUUGGGUCUGGCUGGCGGGUCCGCCUCACCGCGUGCACUCGUCCGGCCGGGCCUUCCUUCUGAAGAACCUCAUGCCCUUUACUGGGCGUGUUGGGGAAUCAGGACUUUUACUUUGAAAAAAUUAGAGUGUUCAAAGCAGGCCUUUGCUCGAAUACGUUAGCAUGGAAUAAUAAAAUAGGGCGUGCGUUUCUAUUUUGUUGGUUUCUAGAGACGCCGCAAUGAUUAACAGGAACAGUCGGGGGCAUCAGUAUUCAGUUGUCAGAGGUGAAAUUCUUGGAUUUACUGAAGACUAACUACUGCGAAAGCAUUUGCCAAGGAUGUUUUCAUUAAUCAGUGAACGAAAGUUAGGGGAUCGAAGACGAUCAGAUACCGUCGUAGUCUUAACCGUAAACUAUGCCGACUAGGGAUCGGGCGAUGUUCUUUUUCUGACUCGCUCGGCACCUUACGAGAAAUCAAAGUUUUUGGGUUCUGGGGGGAUUAUGGUCGCAAGGCUGAAACUUAAAGAAAUUGACGGAAGGUCACCACCAGGCGUGGAGCCUGCGGCUUAAUUUGACUCAACACGGGGAAACUCACCAGGUUCAGAUGAAAUAAGGAUUGACAGAUUGAGAGCUCUUUCUUGAUUUUUCAGGUGGUGGUGCAUGGCCGUUCUUAGUUCGUGGGGUGACUUGUCUGCUUAAUUGCGAUAACGAGCGAGACCUUACUCUGCUAAAUAGCCAGGCUAGCUUUGGCUGGUCGCCGGCUUCUUAGAGAGACUAUCAACUCAAGUUGAUGGAAGUUUGAGGCAAUAACAGGUCUGUGAUGCCCUUAGAUAUUCUGGGCCGCACGCGCGCUACACUGACAGAGCCAACGAGUUCUUUCCCUUGGCCGAAAGGUCUGGGUAAUCUUGUUAAACUCUGUCGUGCUGGGGAUAAAGCAUUGCAAUUAUUGCUUUUCAACGAGGAAUGCCUAGUAAGCGCGUGUCAUCAGCAUGCGUUGAUUACGUCCCUGACCUUUGUACACACCGCCCGUCGCUACUACCGAUUGAAUGGCUCAGUGAGGCCUUCGGACUGGCUCGGGGAGGUUGGCAACGACCACCCCAAGCCGGAAAGUUGGUCAAACUCGGUCAU
RNAcentral lists this ribosomal RNA (1669 nucleotides) under Pyrenophora poae. RNAcentral's name for it is "SSU rRNA". It matches the Rfam family "Eukaryotic small subunit ribosomal RNA". Lineage: Eukaryota; Fungi; Ascomycota; Dothideomycetes; Pleosporales; Pleosporaceae. The record is from RNAcentral.